UGAUCAGCAGAAAGUGAUAACCAGAGGU
RNAcentral lists this non-coding RNA (28 nucleotides) under Mus musculus (house mouse). The record is from RNAcentral. Lineage: Eukaryota; Metazoa; Chordata; Mammalia; Rodentia; Muridae.